GCAUCGAUGGUUCAGUGGUAAAAUGCUCGCCUGCCACGCUGGCGGCCCGGUUUCGAUUCCCGGCUGAUGUU
RNAcentral lists this transfer RNA (71 nucleotides) under Cordylochernes scorpioides. RNAcentral describes it as "tRNA-Gly". It matches the Rfam family "tRNA". From Rfam's summary of the family: Transfer RNA (tRNA) molecules are approximately 80 nucleotides in length. Their secondary structure includes four short double-helical elements and three loops (D, anti-codon, and T loops). Further hydrogen bonds mediate the characteristic L-shaped molecular structure. tRNAs have two regions of fundamental functional importance: the anti-codon, which is responsible for specific mRNA codon recognition, and the 3' end, to which the tRNAs corresponding amino acid is attached (by aminoacyl-tRNA synthetases). tRNAs cope with the degeneracy of the genetic code in two manners: having more than one tRNA (with a specific anti-codon) for a particular amino acid; and 'wobble' base-pairing, i.e. permitting non-standard base-pairing at the 3rd anti-codon position. The record is from RNAcentral. Lineage: Eukaryota; Metazoa; Arthropoda; Arachnida; Pseudoscorpiones; Chernetidae.